This 502-nucleotide ribosomal RNA is filed under the name uncultured bacterium. RNAcentral's name for it is "bacterial SSU rRNA". It matches the Rfam family "Bacterial small subunit ribosomal RNA", at positions 355 to 868 of the family's 1533-position model. The record is from RNAcentral.
UGGGGAAUAUUGCACAAUGGGCGGAAGCCUGAUGCAGCAACGCCGCGUGCGGGAUGACGGCCUUCGGGUUGUAAACCGCUUUCGCCUGUGACGAAGCGUGAGUGACGGUAAUGGGUAAAGAAGCACCGGCUAACUACGUGCCAGCAGCCGCGGUGAUACGUAGGGUGCGAGCGUUGUCCGGAUUUAUUGGGCGUAAAGGGCUCGUAGGUGGUUGAUCGCGUCGGAAGUGUAAUCUUGGGGCUUAACCCUGAGCGUGCUUUCGAUACGGGUUGACUUGAGGAAGGUAGGGGAGAAUGGAAUUCCUGGUGGAGCGGUGGAAUGCGCAGAUAUCAGGAGGAACACCAGUGGCGAAGGCGGUUCUCUGGGCCUUUCCUGACGCUGAGGAGCGAAAGCGUGGGGAGCGAACAGGCUUAGAUACCCUGGUAGUCCACGCUGUAAACGGUGGGUACUAGGUGUGGGGUCCAUUCCACGGGUUCCGUGCCGUAGCUAACGCUUUAAKACC